GAUGAACGCUGGCGGCGUGCCUAAUACAUGCAAGUCGAGCGAACAGAUGAGGAGCUUGCUCCUCUGACGUUAGCGGCGGACGGGUGAGUAACACGUGGAUAACCUACCUAUAAGACUGGGAUAACUUCGGGAAACCGGAGCUAAUACCGGAUAAUAUAUUGAACCGCAUGGUUCAAUAGCGAAAGACGGUUUUGCUGUCACUUAUAGAUGGAUCCGCGCCGCAUUAGCUAGUUGGUAAGGUAACGGCUUACCAAGGCGACGAUGCGUAGCCGACCUGAGAGGGUGGUCGGCCACACUGGAACUGAGACACGGGCCAGACUCCUACGGGAGGCAGCAGUAGGGAAUCUUCCGCAAUGGGCGAAAGCCUGACGGAGCAACGCCGCGUGAGUGAUGAAGGUCUUCGGAUCGUAAAACUCUGUUAUUAGGGAAGAACAAAUGUGUAAGUAACUAUGCACGUCUUGACGGUACCUAAUCAGAAAGCCACGGCUAACUACGUG
This 497-nucleotide ribosomal RNA is filed under the name uncultured bacterium. RNAcentral describes it as "partial 16S ribosomal RNA". It matches the Rfam family "Bacterial small subunit ribosomal RNA", at positions 28 to 507 of the family's 1533-position model. The record is from RNAcentral.